RNAcentral lists this ribosomal RNA (159 nucleotides) under Phaeoacremonium fraxinopennsylvanicum. RNAcentral's name for it is "5.8S ribosomal RNA". It matches the Rfam family "5.8S ribosomal RNA". From Rfam's summary of the family: 5.8S ribosomal RNA (5.8S rRNA) is a component of the large subunit of the eukaryotic ribosome. It is transcribed by RNA polymerase I as part of the 45S precursor that also contains 18S and 28S rRNA. The record is from RNAcentral. RNAcentral also lists the same sequence under 6 other names. Lineage: Eukaryota; Fungi; Ascomycota; Sordariomycetes; Togniniales; Togniniaceae.
AAAACUUUCAACAACGGAUCUCUUGGUUCUGGCAUCGAUGAAGAACGCAGCGAAAUGCGAUAAGUAAUGUGAAUUGCAGAAUUCAGUGAAUCAUCGAAUCUUUGAACGCACAUUGCGCCCGCUAGUAUUCUGGCGGGCAUGCCUGUCCGAGCGUCAUUU